Molecule: long non-coding RNA, 352 nt
Filed under: Bos taurus (domestic cattle)
Lineage: Eukaryota; Metazoa; Chordata; Mammalia; Artiodactyla; Bovidae
Description: long non-coding RNA NONBTAT010788
Source: RNAcentral
UUCUUUUGGACUUCAGCAAUUAUUUCUUAUUCAUCUUUCAAUCUCUUGCUUUUUUUUGGAGAAUAAAUGAAAUAUGAGUAAUAGGUACAGAAUAAACAUAGGUUUGUGUGGUAACAUGAUGUGAAUUUUACCUGUUUCUGAAAUAAUUAACUUUGUUCAGUUGUGUCAAAUAUUUGGUACUUGUUUAUUGUAUGUUACUUCCAGGUGUGUAAUUGUGUUAAAUGUGUAGCUUUUUAAAGACUCAUGACAUUGAGAAUUAUGUUUCAGAAAUGAAUCUAUAAAUCUCUGGGGGAAAAAAGAAGCAAAAGGAAUUUUGAUUUAGUCUUGUCUGCAUAUGAGGAAAUUUAGAAGA